UUAAGCGAAUAAGCGUACACGGUGGAUGCCUAGGCAAUCAGAGGCGAUGAAGGACGUGCUAAUCUGCGAAAAGCGUCGGUAAGGUGAUAUGAACCGUUAUACCCGACGAUAUCCGAAUGGGGAAACCCAGUAUCCAAUGGAUACUAUCAUUAACUGAAUCCAUAGGUUAAUGAGGCGAACCGGGAGAACUGAAACAUCUCAGUACCCCGAGGAAAAGAAAUCAACCGAGAUUCCCCUAGUAGCGGCGAGCGAACGGGGAGCAGCCCAGAGUCUUAAUCAAUAGCAGUGUCAGGAGAACGGUCUGGAAAGUCCGGCAGUAAAGGGUGAUAGCCCCGUAUCUGAAGAUGCUGUUAUUGUGAACUCGACGAGUAGGGCGGGACACGUGUUAUCCUGUCUGAAUAUGGGGGGACCAUCCUCCAAGGCUAAAUACUCCUGAUUGACCGAUAGUGAACCAGUACCGUGAGGGAAAGGCGAAAAGAACCCCGGCGAGGGGAGUGAAAAAGAACCUGAAACCGUGUACGUACAAGCAGU
This 531-nucleotide ribosomal RNA is filed under the name Proteus mirabilis. RNAcentral describes it as "partial 23S ribosomal RNA". It matches the Rfam family "Bacterial large subunit ribosomal RNA", at positions 1 to 574 of the family's 2925-position model. The record is from RNAcentral. Lineage: Bacteria; Pseudomonadati; Pseudomonadota; Gammaproteobacteria; Enterobacterales; Morganellaceae.